Molecule: long non-coding RNA, 220 nt
Filed under: Cricetulus griseus (Chinese hamster)
Lineage: Eukaryota; Metazoa; Chordata; Mammalia; Rodentia; Cricetidae
Description: lncRNA (ENSCGRG00000024872.1)
Source: RNAcentral
CUACAGCUUCCUCUACAUCCAUCCCCCAAUUCCCUCGCUGUCCCAUCCUCCCAUGUUCCCCACUAACCCCCCAAACCACCCACCCCCCAGGAGUACUGUCUUGAUUGCUCAUUUAUUUAUAUCGGAAGACCAAGCAUAUUAUGACCUGGUGCUGUAUACUACACAAAGAAACAUAGUUCAGCACCUAGAAGACUGAUUAUCUAUGAUCAGGACACCCCAU